This 492-nucleotide ribosomal RNA is filed under the name uncultured bacterium. RNAcentral's name for it is "partial 16S ribosomal RNA". It matches the Rfam family "Bacterial small subunit ribosomal RNA", at positions 28 to 507 of the family's 1533-position model. The record is from RNAcentral.
GAUGAACGCUAGCUACAGGCUUAACACAUGCAAGUCGAGGGGAAACGGCAUUAAGUGCUUGCACUUUUUGGACGUCGACCGGCGCACGGGUGAGUAACGCGUAUCCAACCUUCCCAUGACUAAGGGAUAACCUGCCGAAAGGCAGACUAAUACCUUAUGGUCUUCACUGACGGCAUCAGAUGUGAAGUAAAGAUUUAUCGGUUAUGGAUGGGGAUGCGUCUGAUUAGCUUGUUGGCGGGGUAACGGCCCACCAAGGCAACGAUCGGUAGGGGUUCUGAGAGGAAGGUCCCCCACAUUGGAACUGAGACACGGUCCAAACUCCUACGGGAGGCAGCAGUGAGGAAUAUUGAUCAAUGGGCGAGAGCCUGAACCAGCCAAGUAGCGUGCAGGAUGACGGCCCUAUGGGUUGUAAACUGCUUUUGUAUGGGGAUAAAGUCAAUCACGUGUGAUUGUUUGCAGGUACCAUACGAAUAAGGACCGGCUAAUUCCGUG